UGAAGCUUAAAGCGUUAGCCUUUUAAGCUAAAGUUAGAGGUAUAAAACCUCCAUAGUGA
RNAcentral lists this transfer RNA (59 nucleotides) under Micromys erythrotis. Its description in RNAcentral is "tRNA-Lys". The record is from RNAcentral. Lineage: Eukaryota; Metazoa; Chordata; Mammalia; Rodentia; Muridae.